CCUGCGUUUCUUUCUCCCUUAGUCCGUCCGCUUUUUGAAUCUCCCUGCUGGCUUCUGCGAGCUCCCGCCCUUCCGCAGACGCGGGGGUCUCCCGGCGCACCAGGACAUGCAGGUUUUGUCCACCCUAGGGCUCCUGAGGAAUCGCGUUUAGUUUAGGUUCACUCUGCCCCAUACCUGUUUGUCCGACAGACAACCUUUAAAAAAAAAAAAAAGUUUUCCCUCCGGGGAUCAGAACGUUUAAACAUUAAACGUAGGCAAGGGCUUCCUGGCAGCCUGAGGGGCACCACCACCUUAACAUCUACGUAAGACUGAAAACCACUGGGGGCCGAGGUCCAGGGGUGAUGGAGACGCGAGGACCGAGGAUGGAGACCGAAUCAGGAAUCAGGCCCACGUCGUCAUCUACGUGACCGGCCGACAGGGUUUAAUUCCUAUCUGGGGUUAAAUGAAAUGCCAAGCAGAGGAGUUGAUUUUAAUUCCAGAUGGACUCAGUGUAUAUAACAGCGUGUAUUUUUCAAAGAAAUGGGUGUAAAGAGAACGAAUACGCGGAGAAUUUUAACGGAAUGCCUAUGUAAACAAGCACUAUUACUGCCCUCAAUUGUUUUCUGCUUGAGAAGACAUAGGUUGUGUUCUUCAUUAUCUAUCUGCAGCCAAAGUGUGGCAUCUUUUGCUUGUUCUAACUGUGGUAUACAUUCCAGAUCCUUUAGCAUAAUAUACUUUCGUCACAGAAAUGACAUCUUCAGGGAGACAACUUUGAAGAAAUGCCUGAAAGUCACAGUAGAAACACUUUCUUCUGUUACCUCCUGAAAGAUUGAAAUUUCGCAGAAGUAUCUAAUGAAGAGGAAUCUGAACAUAGCAGUUGAGGAAGGAAAAAGAUUGGGAGAAGAGCCCAGAUGUCAUAAAGCAAAGAGAGGAUGAGGUUGAGAUGACCAUCUGUGUGCUCAAUUGUUUUUAUGUAUUUUGGAUUAUGCCCUUAAUAGAGGCCCCUUGAAGCAGAAUUAUUGAGUAAAAGCUCUUGCUACGUCUUGAUAUUCAGGUUACAUCAGAUUUUAGGGCAUGUACUGUGUUUGUGAUUGCCAUCUCUUAACUGUUGGAAUGGAACAAAACAUUGGAGAUUAUUUUAAUGAGAAAAGCUUCUCCAGGAAGUCAGUAAUGACCAAAAAAUUAGGGUAGGGAACUCAGGGAGACCAAGUCAACUGUAAAGUGAGAUUCUUGACAUGGUUCAGCAGCUGCUUCCCAGUGGAUUUAAUCAGUAGACAUCUGGUGGGAAAGGUACCACAGCACUGACAGCAAAGAGCUGCUUCAGCUGGGUGUGAUGGCAGCUUGAAAUCCAGGAGGAAGGAAAACACAGUAACCAGGGUGAGAUGGAGGAAGGGGAUCGUGAGCCAAGGAAUGCAAGCGCUUCUAGAAGCUGGAAAAGACCCGGGAGGCAGACUCUCCUUCAGAGCCUCCGGAGGGAAAGCAGAGCAACCAACACCUUGAUGUGAGCCCGGGGGACCUCACUGGACUUCUAACCUACAGAUUUGUAUUGUUUAAGCCACUAGAUCUGUGGUAAUUUGUUACAGUGACAAUAGAAAAUCAGUAUGUUGUUAUUGUCAUUUGUUUGUCUGCUCUAGGCCAAGACUCAGUAGGGAAGCUUUGCUUUGACAUAUGGCAGCAUAAAUUCCCUUACAGUAAGAAAGGAUAGAAUUUUGAAUUCUAAAAAGCCACCGAAGUCUACAAAAAAUUCUUGAGCUGACUUUAUAUUAUUUCUAUCUUCCAAUCCUUUCCCCUCUUGCUUUAUAUUGACAAAGAUCAAAAAGGGGUCAGCAACUGUCUUUCACGAUUCUCCCAGAACCAUUAUUACACUGAAAUUUACAGGAUGUCUGACGUAUGAAGUACUAUCGUCCAUGGUUUCAGAAAGUAAAAAGCUUAAAUCUUCACUCAUUUGUUAGCUCACAACAGCAAAAGGUAACAACUGAGAAAAAAAUAAAUGAAGCAAAGAAAGAGAAAUAUCAAAGGGAAACUGAGCAAGAGAAAUAUCAAAGGGAAACUGAGA
This is a long non-coding RNA of Balaenoptera acutorostrata (minke whale), 2035 nucleotides long. RefSeq lists it as uncharacterized. The transcript is spliced from 6 exons. NCBI's taxonomy places the organism in Eukaryota, Metazoa, Chordata, Mammalia, Artiodactyla, Balaenopteridae. The record is from RefSeq and is a predicted model, not a curated record.